This 3466-nucleotide unclassified non-coding RNA is filed under the name Hevea brasiliensis (rubber tree). The record is from RNAcentral. Lineage: Eukaryota; Viridiplantae; Streptophyta; Magnoliopsida; Malpighiales; Euphorbiaceae.
GCCUCUCGCUACAUUUUUGCUUCUUUUUUUAUUUUUGGAGAGAGAUAGAGAGAGAAACGGGGAGAGAGGAAGGGAGAAGCUCGAGAUCCUGUCAGAUCGGACCGGAAUUUGUGAUGGGACUAGAACUUGCAGAUGAGGAAAUGGAUAGGAAGCCAAAUGGUGCCGUAGUGAAGUCAAAUGGUGUCUCUCAUGAUAAAGUUAAUGCUCUUCCUAAAACUUCAGGACAUAGUGUGGAAGCAAAGGACUAUGAGGAGAAGGAAUGCACUGCAGAAGAUUCAGUUAUUCAGAACCAUAACCAGAAACAAGAUGUGCUUGGCAUAAAAAACACGAAUUUUAACCCUGACCAGGCUGAGGGUAAAAAUGAAAAACCUGGAGCUCUGAAGUCGAACGAUGAUAAAAAUUCCAGUUUUCCUGCUUCAAAAUCUGGUGGAGCGAGAUAUGCACAGGGACAGCAUACUAUCCCCCAGCCAUUUGCUCUGGCAACUGAAAAACGUGCGGGUGUGAACACUUCAAAGAAUGGGAAUAAUUUGAGUUCCCCUAUUGCUACAAAGAACUCACAGGUAAUUAAAGUUCUCAACAGCUUUUGUGGUAAAUCAAAUGCUGUCAUCUUGCUUUCUAUUUUUUGCUCAAGGAUUGCUGAUCUGAUAUUAUUAACUUGAGGCGAGCCAUGACCUGAACUCAAAUUGAUCUGUUUGAGAUUUGAUUAAGAUCACUAUAACUACAUAAGUGGACUUUGGGAUUGGGUGAUAAACUAUACAUGCUAGCAUCAGCGAUCAAUUUAGAGGUUUCCAACUUACAUUGUUUGGUAGAGAUCAAGAACAAGAAAAUUGAAAGUUUUCUGAAAUUAUAACUUUAGUAACCAUGUGAUGUUUCCAAAUGAAAAAUAACAUGCUGUUUCUUGUUAUCUCUUUUUGUAAAUUUCUUAUAUUUAAUUUAGAACCUGUUUUGGAUGAAUUUUUUCUUUUUCAGAUAUUUGGAACAUAGUGUUUAAAGAUACAAGUGAGACUGUUUUCUUAUCAAUGCAACUGCCAUUUUUGAGGUUUUUCUCCCCCAUUUUUUCUGGUGGUUUGGAUUUAUUAUUUUACGAGUAUGUGUGUUAGUGGUUAUUCAAUUGUUUUGGGCUAGUCAUUGACUUGGAGAACUUUGUUUAGAAAUUUAGGGGAUAAUAUGUUUGAAACUUCACACAAUUGUUUGAUGUUGGAUUGAAUUCAACCUAGACUCUUAUCUUUAUAUAAUAGUAUGACUUUACUGCCUUGGUGUGCCUCAAUUUGUAACUAUAACCAUAUAACAUAAUUUGCAUUGGCCACUGAAGUUUGUAUGGGAUGAAGCGUAGCUUUAAUUCAGAAAGCUUAAUGGAAUAAUGAAUUUUGUUCCUCCAUGAAUUAGUGAUAUUAUGUAUUUAUAUUUAUAUCUGGAUAUAGCACUGAUCUUAAAAUUAUGCCACUUCUGUCAGCCUAAUUCACCUUCUACAGCAAGGAAGCCAUUGAACCCUGAUAAUAAGAAGCUUCCUGAUGAAGAAGAUAAUUGUUCUGUUGCGUCCUCAUAUCCUUUUCUGGUUUUAGCAAUUUACAUUUUGAGUUUGGGGGAGAGAGAAAAAGAAAGGCUUUCUUUAAAACUUUGGUUCACGUAAACUCUGGCUUUGUUAUUUUUGGAUAAGUAGUCCUUAGCUAUGUGUAGUACAGCUGCAUCAGUGAGAACUGUUAAAUCUAUAACCAUUGGAACAGCUCCUACCUUUAGAUCUACCGAACGUGCAGAGAAAAGAAAGGAGGUAUUUAUUGAUCAAAUGCCUAUGUGGAUCAUGUUCCUUGAACUUUUUCCUUCAUUGACACAUUUGUAUUGAAUCCCAUAAGUUAAUUAUCUUUGUUGUUGUCAACCAGUUCUAUGCAAAACUAGAGGAAAAACACAGGGCUUUGGAAGCAGAGCGAAACCAGGCCGAGGCAAGGUCCAAGGUAGAUUACCUCCUAAUCUUUAUAUGAUGUGUAAGUGCACGCUUAAACUUUUCUCCUUUAUUUUAGGAAGAGCAUCAAGCAGCCAUCAAGCAGCUUAGAAAGAGCAUGGUGAUUAAAGCAAAACCUGUUCCUAGUUUCUACUAUGAGCCACCUCCACCUAAGGUUGAACUCAAGAAGGUAUUCUGAUCAGGACUUUUCUCAGUUCAGUGUGAAUUCUUAAAGAUUGAAGAUGCAUAUGAAGCAGUUAAAAAAAGCCAUCACUUUGCACAGAUGAAUACUAAGGACCGGAUGUAGGACUCCUGAAAAUUUAAUGAAACUUGCAUAUUUUGAAGUAGGAUUUAUCUGCAGCAGUGAAGUGGAAUAUCUAUUUUCCUCAAAUUAACUGAAUUUGGACUUUGUUUGAGCUUGCAAUUGUUUUGUCUUGGUAGCUAUGACAAAAAGGCUAUCAAUAAUGGGAUAUAAUUUGAUCAAAUUUAGGGAAAAAUUUUUAAGCUCGAGUCUGUUAGAUUUCAAAAAAUUUUUUUUGGAGCCCUCACUUACAAGCUCAAGCUUUUAGGUUGAGCAGUUCUUUUUAUAAAAUUAACUGUCUUUCCCCUUCAAAAUAGUAGAUAGAUUAAUAAAUUAAUGAAUAAUAGCUGUCAGCUGUAGUGUAUCUGUCUCCUAAUUUAGAACUGUUAACAAAACUUAACAUGGUUGUUAGUUUAGUCCUAGUAUGAUUGUACCAUUGAUUAUAGUAUAGAUGCACAGCCUUAAAUUCUGCCUGCAGCUUUUGUCAGAUGAUGAUAUAUUUUGAGAAUAUUUAUUGGUUGCCAGCUGCCAUUGACUCGACCGGUGUCACCAAAACUAAACCGGAGAAAGAGCUGCAGUGAUGCAAUUCAGUCAUCUAAAGAUGACGUGGGGAAACAUUGUGCUCGGCACAGCAUGGGUAACCACAAAGAAGAUUUGAAUAUCGCUGCCACAGCCAAAACUAAGGUUCAGAACAGUGCACAGAACAUUAACGGCACUCGCAAGGCCAAGGACAGAUCUAAACAGGAGCAUGUUACAGCAAAAGUUGUUCCUGACAAGAUAAUUGAGGAGACAAAAGAAGACAUCACGGUUGAGUCAUAAACAGCUGGUUUUUACGAACUCUUUUAAGCGAGGGAAACACCUUGAAUUCCCUUAUUUGAUAUUUUGAGAGGGAAUAGCCUACUUCUUUUUCCAUUGCGAUGACUUCUUUAAGUAAUCUGUGUCAAUGUGAAUUGUAUAUGUUUUGUAAGUUAUAUAAUCGCAUAUCAUGUUAUAUAUAAAAAGAGUUGAUGAUUCUAUUUUGGACCAAAUUUGUUGUUUCACCUGGUGUAGGUGUUUGCUGUCUUAGUUCUUUGAAACCAUGAUGAGUAGCUGAUCUUUUAAAGAGUUUAUUUUGACAUGGUUUGAUUUCGAGGUUGCUGAGGUUGUAGCUUCACAAUUUUCACCAAUUUUGUUUAUGAGGAUGUAAUUGAUAGGGUUCCUGUGAACACUUUCUUAUUUUUAUGUUCCCU